GAGGAAGGUGGGGAUGACGUCAAAUCAUCAUGCCCUUUAUGUCCUGGGCUACACACGUACUACAAUGGCCGCUACAGAGGGAAGCGAAGUGGUGACGCUAAGCAAAACCCAAAAAACGGUCUCAGUUCGGAUUGAAGGCUGAAAUUCGCCUUCAUGAAGCCGGAAUUGCUAGUAAUGGCAGGUCAGCAUACUGCCGUGAAUACGUUCCCGGGCCUUGUACACACCGCCCGUCACACCAUGAGAGUUGGGGAUACCCGAAGCCUGUGAGCUAACUUUUAGAGGCAGCAGUCGAAGGUAGAAUCAAUGAUUGGGGUGAAGUCGUAAC
RNAcentral lists this ribosomal RNA (325 nucleotides) under unidentified low G+C gram-positive bacterium. RNAcentral's name for it is "SSU rRNA". It matches the Rfam family "Bacterial small subunit ribosomal RNA", at positions 1166 to 1492 of the family's 1533-position model. Lineage: Bacteria; Bacillati; Bacillota. The record is from RNAcentral.